Long non-coding RNA from Monodelphis domestica (gray short-tailed opossum), 726 nucleotides. RefSeq lists it as uncharacterized. NCBI's taxonomy places the organism in Eukaryota, Metazoa, Chordata, Mammalia, Didelphimorphia, Didelphidae. The record is from RefSeq and is a predicted model, not a curated record.
AUGAGAGUGAGAAGAGCUAAAUGUUUGUGUCGAGAAUGGCCCAGAGCUGCCUCGGGCCCAGUCAUAGUCAGUGACCCCCACAUGAACAUGGUAACACAACAGGCCCCCUCGGGGCCUCUCCCGGGGGCUGGGGAGGCUGGAGAGCCAAUGGUCUGCUUGGGGCAUGGCAGCCUCCUACCCCUGCCCGGACCCCCUUCUGGCUCUCUCCGCCGGACCUGAGGACGGUGUUAGACAAGAAACUUGGGUCCUUGAUGAGCUGGGAUGGUUUGAAAUGUUCGGGAAGCUCAUCUUCGUGUUCUGCUAAGGCCUGAAACAUAAGGUGUGGAGGAUUAGGACGGGUCAUCGGGGGAUCUGGCUCCGUUUCCCCCCACUUCUACUCACCAUCCAGAAGGAGCAGAGAGAAAACUCUUAACAGCAGAAUGAGACAGGUGAGGCCAUGGAAGUCUAACAAAGAUAAGUGACUUGUUUAAGGCCAUCGAUAGCAUCAAUGUCAUCAGUAGAGGAAGAGCCCCUUCACCCAACUGAACUCUCCCAUGAAAACAACACUAGGUGGCUCUGAAGAGAAGACGGCAGGGCCUGGAAUCUGGAAGAUGUGAGUUCAAAUCAGGCCUUGGAUACUUAUAAGCUGGUUGACCCUAGAUGAGAAGUCACUGAAUCUGUUUGCCUCAGUUUCCCCAUUGUUGCCCCAUUGCAGCACAGCCCAAGGAGGGGGGUUCUCUACCUUUG